GAUGAACGCUGGCGGCGUGCCUAAUACAUGCAAGUCGAGCGAACAGACGAGGAGCUUGCUCCUCUGACGUUAGCGGCGGACGGGUGAGUAACACGUGGAUAACCUACCUAUAAGACUGGGAUAACUUCGGGAAACCGGAGCUAAUACCGGAUAAUAUAUUGAACCGCAUGGUUCAAUAGUGAAAGACGGUUUUGCUGUCACUUAUAGAUGUAUCCGCGCCGCAUUAGCUAGUUGGUAAGGUAACGGCUUACCAAGGCAACGAUGCGUAGCCGACCUGGGAGGGGGAUCGGCCACACUGGAAGUGAGACACGGUCCAGGCUCCUACGGGAGGCAGCAGUAGGGAAGCGUCCGCAAUGGGCGAAAGCCUGAAGGAGCAACGCCGCGUGAGUGAUGAAGGGCUUCGGAUCGGAAAACGCUGUUAUUAGGGAAGAACAAAUGUGUAAGUAACGAUGCACGUCUUGACGGUACCUAAUCAGAAAGCCACGGCUAACUACGU
Molecule: ribosomal RNA, 496 nt
Filed under: uncultured bacterium
Lineage: Bacteria
Description: partial 16S ribosomal RNA
Rfam family: Bacterial small subunit ribosomal RNA
Source: RNAcentral